Molecule: ribosomal RNA, 253 nt
Filed under: uncultured bacterium
Lineage: Bacteria
Description: partial 16S ribosomal RNA
Rfam family: Bacterial small subunit ribosomal RNA
Source: RNAcentral
UACGUAGGGCGCAAGCGUUGUCCGGAAUUAUUGGGCGUAAAGAGCUCGUAGGCGGUCUGUCGCGUCGGCUGUGAAAACCCGGGGCUCAACCCCGGGCCUGCAGUCGAUACGGGCAGACUAGAGUGUGGUAGGGGAGACUGGAAUUCCUGGUGUAGCGGUGGAAUGCGCAGAUAUCAGGAGGAACACCGGUGGCGAAGGCGGGUCUCUGGGCCAUAACUGACGCUGAGGAGCGAAAGCGUGGGGAGCGAACAGG